AUAUAUUAUAUAGUUUGUCAUGGCGAGGCGUAUGCGUAAAUCCAAAGGGUGUGAUUGCUGCACAGCUUGGUGUAUCAUCUUAACCAUUCUAAUCCUCGUCUUCGUCAUUGCAUUACUCUUGGUAUUGGAGGUAUACAAACCGAAAAUACCUAUAACGCAGAUCUGAUCAGACAUGAGACACCUUACUUGGCAUCGUAUAUACUUGCCGUUUGAUGUUCAGCUCGGUUCCACACUAACUAGUCUCCAUAUUCUGCUCGAGGCUUAAGCAUGAGACAGGUGCUUGAUCUUCUCUCAGAUAUGAGUGACAUAAUUGCAAGAUCUAUUUGGAGGAAAGAUUGUGUUAGAAACAAAGACAAAAGCUCCCAGGGGAAGUCAAAGCUGUUGUGAAUCUUCAAGGCACACACUUUAGUUGCUAUAUCGGAUUGUAAAAUCAAUAUGGACUUCCCUUCUAUCAAAGUGUAGAACCAAGAAUGUAAAAUGAGUGCUAAUUUGUAGAACUGAAGUCGUCUUUUUGGUAAACAUAUAGGGAAAAGGAUUGAUUUUUAUGUCAGCUCCAUUGUAUAUUUCUCAUUCUCUCUCGAUCCUAAGUUCAUUCUGAAUCUUAGAUUGAAAUUUCUCAAAGACUAGAGAAGCUACAAAGAUCAUUACCAGAAAGAGGGAAAGAACAAAAGCAUUCAUCUAUUAGCUCAUUGUCUCAACUCCAAAGAAAACAUUUUUACCAAUUGAAUCUCACAAAACAA
Capsella rubella is the source of this 740-nucleotide long non-coding RNA. RefSeq lists it as uncharacterized. The record is from RefSeq and is a predicted model, not a curated record. The transcript is spliced from 2 exons. NCBI's taxonomy places the organism in Eukaryota, Viridiplantae, Streptophyta, Magnoliopsida, Brassicales, Brassicaceae.